This 440-nucleotide ribosomal RNA is filed under the name uncultured bacterium. Its description in RNAcentral is "partial 16S ribosomal RNA". It matches the Rfam family "Bacterial small subunit ribosomal RNA", at positions 338 to 795 of the family's 1533-position model. The record is from RNAcentral.
CCUACGUGAGGCAGCAGUGGGGAAUAUUGCACAAUGGAGGGAACUCUGAUGCAGCGACGCCACGUGAGUGAAGAAGGAAUUCGUUAUGUAAAGCUCUAUCAGCAGGGGAGUAAGUGACGGUACCUGAACAAGAAGCUCCGGCUAAAUACGUGCCAGCAGCCGUGGUAAUACGUAUGGAGCAAGCGUUAUCCGGAUUUACUGGGUGUAAAGGGAGAGCAGGUGGCAGAGCAAGUCCGAAGUGAAGAUCCAAAGCUCAACCAUGAGAAUGCUUUAGAAACUGCUCAUCUAGAGUGCAGGAGAGGCAGGUGGAAUUCUUAGUGUAGCGGUGAAAUGCGUAGAUAUUACGAAGAACACCAGUGGCGAAGGCGGCUUGCUGGACUGUAACUGACACUGAGGCUCGAAAGCGUGGGGAGCAAACAGGAUUAGAUACCCUUGUAGUC